Dipodomys ordii (Ord's kangaroo rat) is the source of this 70-nucleotide non-coding RNA. Lineage: Eukaryota; Metazoa; Chordata; Mammalia; Rodentia; Heteromyidae. The record is from Rfam.
GGGGAGGUGGCUCAGUGGUAGAGCGCUUGCCUCACAUGCAUGAGGCACAGGGUUCAAUUCCUCCGCACCA